UACGUAGGGGGCUAGCGUUGUCCGGAUUUAUUGGGCGUAAAGAGCGUGUAGGCGGCCAUGUAGGUCCGGUGUGAAAACUCGAGGCUUAACCUCGAGAUGUCAUCGGAAACCAUUUGGCUAGAGUCCGGAAGAGGAGAGUGGGAUUCCUGGUGUAGCGGUGAAAUGCGCAGAUAUCAGGAGGAACACCAAUAGCGAAGGCAGCUCGCUGGGACGGUAUUGACGCUAAGGCGCGAAAGCGUGGGGAGCAAACAGG
Molecule: ribosomal RNA, 253 nt
Filed under: uncultured bacterium
Lineage: Bacteria
Description: partial 16S ribosomal RNA
Rfam family: Bacterial small subunit ribosomal RNA
Source: RNAcentral